AUAGCAUAAACAAUUCUUCUCAAGUAUCAGUACUAUUUGAAAAGGUUUGAAAUAAUUUUGUAUUGCUUGCAUUUCUUAGUUGAUAAGAAUCGACAUUUAUACAAAUUACAAAUGAAUGAAUAUGGUAAGAAAUUAUAAUAGAAUCAAUUUACAAUAAAUGACAAAAUAAUAGGAGAAGAUUAUGGAUCUUGAAAUAUCUCUUAAUAUCCUCCUUCAAACUGAUGACUCAGGUUGAGUCAGUAGUUUGUCUCGAAGAUGAAGAAAUGUUGGAGACAACAGUGGCUUUGUAAGUAUCAGCAAGUUGAUUGGUGGAAGAUAUGUAACGAAUGGAGAUAUCUUUGCGAAGAACUUUUUUCCGAACAAAGUGGUAAUCAUUCUCAAUGUGUUUGGUUCGAGCAUGAAAUACUGGAUUAUGAGCUAGAGAUAUAGCGGAAACAUUAUCACACCAUAAUGUUGGUGAGGUCUUGAGAGGAACACAUAGAUCACAAAGAAGUUGUCGAAUCCAGUAAAGAUCGACAGUAGUAGUGGCAAGUGAGCGAUAUUUUGCUUCUGUGGAGGAAUAGGAUACUGUAGGUUGCUUUUUAGAAGACCAAGUAAUUGGAUUAGACCCAAGGAAGGCGAUGAAUCCAGAGGUGAAACGUCAAUCAGAAGUGUCACCUGCCCAAUCAGAGUAAAAAAAGGUCUGUAGAAAGAACAAACCUUUUUGAAAUUUUAUUCCAAGGGGUGAAGUACCUCGUAGAUAUUUGAGGAUGCGUUUAACUGCUGAGAAGUGAAUGACAAUUGGUUUGUGCAUAAAUUGACUAACACGGUUUACAAAGAACGCAAUAUAAGGACGAGUAAAUGUAAGGUAUUGCAAGAAACCAACUAGUUUGUGAUAGAGGGAUGAAUCAUUAAAGGGUGGAGCAGUUGUAUAAAGAUCAAGAGAAGUAGACAUGUGUGUGACACAAGAUUUUGCAGAGAUCAUUCCUGAUGUGUGAAGAAGGUCACUGAGGUAUUUCACCUGGUUAACAAAUAUGCCAUCAGUAGAGGAAUGAAUUUGAAGACCAAGAAAGUAUUUUAAGGGGCCAAGGUCAGAUAUUUGGAAUUCAAGGGCCAAUUGGUUUUUGAGAAGAGAGAUGUAUGAGGAGUCAGGACCAAUGACAAUGAUGUCAUCUACAUACAAAAGUAAGUAAGUGAGAAGAUUUGACUGGUCGAAUGAAUAACAAAGGUUCAACGGUAGAGGCAACAAAAUCCAAAGUAAAUAAAUAAGAUGUAAAGCGUUCAAACCAAGUGCGGGGGGCUUGUUUGAGACCAUAAAGACUCUUGUGUAGGAGAUACACGUGAUUUGGAUGUGUUUUAUCCUGAAAACCAGUAGGUUGAGACAUGUACAUAGUUUCUUGGAGAAUGCCAUGAAGAAAGGCAUUUUUUACAUCUAAUUGGGUUAAGGAUCAAUUGUAUUGAGCAACAAGAGCAAGAAUUCUGCGUAUGGUAGGUUUCUUAACAACAUGAUUAAAUGUUUCAUCAAAAUCAAAACCUUGUACCUGGUGAUAACCUUUUACAACUAGUCUUGCUUUGUGACGAGCAACAGAGCCAUCAGGAUUAUAUUUUGUUCUAAAAACCCAUUUACAACCAACAACAUUCAUAGAUGGAAGUUGAGGUACUAAGGACCAAGUACCUUGUGCUUGAAGAGCAUUGAAUUCCUCACACAUCGCAGUUUGCCAUUCGAGAUACUUUGAGUCUUCUGUGUAUGAUGUGGGAGUCAAGAGAGCAGAUGUGAUGUGAAAAGCCUUUGGCUUAAAAAUACCUGAUUUUGCUCAAGUUUGCAUAGCAUGAGUGUUUCGAGGAGGAGAUGAAACAUGUAAGGUGGUUCGGCAACAUUUAAUUCAUUUCCUGUAUCGACUAUAGAUGAAAUAUUCAAAGACUGAUCAUUGACAUUAAUAUCCAUAAAAGAUGAGUGAGUAAUGUCAACAACGGGAGGGUGAGGAGGUGGGGUUUGGAUAUUGAGAAUGGAGAUAGAAUUUGAGGGUGUAUGAUGUGGAAUGUUUACUAAGGUAAGUAAUAGGCUUGGAUCAGAAUUAGAUAGAUGUUGAGAUGGGGAAGAGGUGGUGGAAUUUGCAUAAGUAAAGAUGUUUUCAUAAAAGAUGAUGUGUCGGGAAACUAUGGUUUGUUUGGUUAAUGGGUUGUAACAAAUAUAGCCUUUGAAAUUGUGAGGAUAGCCUAAAAAUAUGUGUUGUGUGGUUUUGGGUUCAAGUUUGUGUUUGGUGUAAGACUUGAGAAGGGGAUAACAUGCACAUUCAAAAACUUUUAAAUGAUGCAAAUCAAAAGUAUAACCAAAAAGCAUUUCAAAUGGUGAUGACAUUAUAAGUGAGGAAGAAGACAUUCAAUUAAUAAGAAAAAGUGCAGUAGAGAAAGCAUAAGGCCAAAAUUCAAGAGGAAUAGAUGAAUGAAAAAUUAGAGGCAUUGCAGUUUCAACGAUGUGACGAUGUUUACGUUCGGCGACACCGUUUUUUUUUAGGAGUAUAAGGACAUGAUUUUUGGUGAGAAAUACCUUUGGAAUCAAAAAAGGAUUGUAAGAUAGUGUUGCAAAAUUCACCACCAUUAUCUGAUCGAAAGUUUUUCAUUUUUUGAGAUAUUCGAUUUUCAAUAAAGGGAACAAAUUUUUGAAUAAUAGAUGAAACAUCAGAUUUGUAAGCAAUAGGAAAGAGCCAAGUAAAUUUGCUAAAAUUGUCAAUAAAACUAACAUAAUAUCGAUUUUCAUUAGAAGAAAUUAUUGGAGAGGGUCCCUAUACAUUGCUAUGAAUAAGAUCAAGUGGUGUAAGAGAAGUUGAUAAAGACAUUGGAAAAGGUAAUUUUGUCAUGUUUGCUUUUAAACAACUAAUGCAAUUGCAAGUAGAAAUGGAAGAGCACAUAGAUAGACCAAUGCGAGAUAAAAUAGAAUUAAGGAUUUUUGAAGCAAGAUGACCAAAACGAAAAUGCCAUAAUGACUAAUCUUCCUGUUUUGCAUGGAAAUUAAAAGAUUUGGAAUGCAUGGUAGGUGUGGAUAAAGUAGAAGUACUGGGAAUAGGAUAGAGACCAUUGAUGCUUUCACCAAUAUAGAGAGUUCGGCUAGUGACUUUUUCCUGAAAGAGGAACCAAUCAGUAUCAAAAAUAAAAAUACAGAAAGUUUAGGAGUGUGGAGUAUUUUGGAGAGAUUGAAGGUAUGAGAGAGAGUUGAGAGUUUACCACUGUUGGUAUUUUUAAUAUGUAAAGGUUGACCAUUACCCAUGUGAUAGUUUCCUCACCAUUAUAAUUGUUGGACAGGUUGAGAUUUGCCAACUCAUUUGUCAUAUGAAAAUUGCAUCCACCGUUAGAUAACAAAAAAUUAUUAGUAUUUUCAUCAAAGGUUUGAGAAUGCAUAGAAUUUAUCGCCAUUGCUGAUAAUUGAGAGGGUGGAUGUCAGCCUUGAUAAGAGAAAUUCAUAUGAUUAUAGCAAUCGAAAGCCACACAUCCUGGAUUUUGACACAUUUGACAAAAAAACAUGGCCAUUAGAUCCAAAAUUUGUUUCAGGCCCAAAAUUGGGUCCAUGUGAAGGAGAGGACCCAAUGAUGCCACGUUGGUUGGAAUGGAAUGGUCUGAAGUUGGAUGUUGGGCGAAAUGGGCCAUGGUUGUUAUUAGGCUGAAGUUGAUGAGUAUUUCCAUUUCCACGUGAUCCUAUAUUAAAAUUGGAGCGAGAUAAUUAGGAGGAUUUGGGGAAGAAUGAAAAUUAGGGUUACCGAUAGAAUGAGAACGUCGUCCUCCUCGUUCACGGCUGCUGCGAUGUUGAGAUGGUUGGAAUGCAACCAUGGCUGUGGGAAUGGCUUCAAUGGCUGAAGUUUUGGCCAUAGUUGAUUCCUCCAAAAUGAGUAGAGUGUGAAGUUCUUCAAGGGAGAUGGUGCUGUUGCGGGUUCGAAUUGAUGUACGAAAGGCAUUGAAGGCAGUGGGGAGCCCAUUUAGGGUGUGAACGGGAGUCUCUUCAUCUUCAAGAGAGACGGAUGUGGCGGCAAGUUUAUCGACAAGGGCUUUAAUACGAGAGGUAUAUUGUUUAAUGAUUUCAGAAGGAGUUUUUUUUAUGGUGUAGAGUGCUGACCUGAAAUCAAGAAUGUUAGAUCUGGUAUUGGAGAGUAGUGUUUCUCUAGAGACAACCACAGUUCUUUAGAGGAGACAGAGCCAACAACGUGGGCAAGGGCAAAAGAUGAUAAAGUGGCAUUUAUCAAGGUAAUAAGAGCUUUGUCACGGGAUAGCCAUUGGAGAUAUUCAGGGUUGAUUUCGGGAUUAGUGCCAACUAUUGACGAUGAUAAAUUUUAUGGAGGACAGGGAAGGGAAUCAUCAAUGUGUCCAAAGAGGGAAUGGGCUUUGAGAAUGGAGGAAACUUGAUAUUUCCAUAAAACAUAAUUUUUAAAGUCUAGUUGGAUAGGUACAAGAUUGCAGAUGUUGGAUAGCAAGAAAAGAGUAGAGGUGGGAACAUAUGGAUUUGGUGAGGAUUCGAGGACAGGAUUGGAAGAUUCAAUAGGAUCAGAUUGUGAGCUAGGAGUGGCCAUUGAAAUGAUAUAUGAGUAUGACUUCGAUAUCAACUGACGGACCCAUGUAAAAGAUUGAUCCUUCUCAUCAUGUUCAUGCUUUAGUAAGCUCUUUAUCUCAUUUAGAAAAUAUUACGCGUAAUUGAAACCAAAUCAGUAACCUUAUUUGGAAAUACAAAGUUUAGCCACUUUUUGGAUCUUAAUAUCGUCUUUAUUGGGCCACUCAUCCACUACUUAUUACUAAGGGAGGUGGAAGAUGAAGGGAAGGAUUAUAUCAGUUUCAUGAUAGGGAGAAUUCUGUGUACUUUUGGUAGAAGAGAGUUUAACAUCAUAACGGGUCUAUGAAGUUCUCCAACAAAAUCUAUUCAAUUGGUUGGGAAUAGUAGGUUGUUGGACAAGUUCUUCGAAGAAAAAAAAGUCUAUUUAUGUAAAUGACUUAGAUGACACAUUUAUGGAAUACGAGGAGGAUGACGAUGACAUAGUUAAAAAUUAGCUUUAGUAUACUUUAUAGAGCUGUCAUUGUUAGGAAAAGAUAGGCUGACUUUGUGGACCAAACAUUAUUUAGGAUUGCAGAUGAUUGGAACACAUUUGACAAUUAUGAUUGGGGAGGGUUAGUUUUUGGACACAUGUUUUGUGCCUUAGAACGAGCCUUGGAUAUGCAACAUGCCAAGGGAAAGAAGAAGUCAACUAAGACAAAAUAUACUAUCAUGGGAUUUUCGCAUGCAUUACAGGUUUGGGCAUAUGAGUCUAUACCAACCAUUACUAGAAACUUUUCACUGGAAAAAAUCCAAGGAAUUUUUCAGAGACUUGUUCAUGUGUCGUCGGUGGUUGGCGAAUGAGCAUUUGGAUGCACUCUUUCUUCUCAUUCGCUUCAAGAUUAAGACAACCAUGAUACUUUCUGCUAAAAACUUCACAACUAUACACACACUCUUCAUGCGACUAUUAGUUGCGAAGUGGCCCGAAUAGCAAGAAUGUAUUAAAGAGAAUCGACCGUUUGACUGGAAGGAGGAGUAUCGGUUGGUAGACUAUGUUGUCGGAUCAAAACAAAACUUUCAAGAUCCUUGGACAAGUGUUGAUUACAUUUACUCUUCAUUCAAUAUCCAUAUCAAUCAUUAGGUUCUAUUAUGCUUGGACUUGGUAAGUUGUCAAGUCAAGGUAUGGGAUUCUCUUGAGUCGCUUACGAGUGUCGAAGAGAUGAGAAGCAUGUUAAUGUCGAUUCGAGAGAUGGUGCCAAAUUUACUAGAUACUACUAGAUUCUUUGCUAGGAGAGGUGGAUCAUCAACACACAAGGAACCUUGGCCACUUGUCAUUGUUGACUCCAUUCCACUGCAACACAACAAUAGUGAUUGUGGUGUAUUUACCAUCAAGUAUUUUGAAUACGAAGCUUCUGGUUUAGAUGUAACUACAUUAAGUCAAGAAAACAUGUCCUACUUUAGAAAACAAUUGACAUUUCAAUUAUGGACCAACACUCCUAUGUUUUGACUUUUAGUUGCAAAAUUUGAAGGAAUUUUAUAUCAUAUAUGUUGCGAACUAUGUACAUAAAUCGAUUGAUGUAAAGGAAUGAGUACCAUUGUUAUUUUAUGGUCUGAAAAUUUUAUUUUAUUCUUUUGGAAAACUUUUCAAGUGUGUAGUAUGUACAAUCCCAUAAAUAUCAUUUGAGAUGUGGUUAUCUUGCAUUUUGAUAAUAUGAAAACUACACAAGUGAUUUGUUUUUUGUAGGAGCUACUGCUAUGGAUUCUGGAAGAAAAGCUUUAGAGCUUCUAAGUUUGGUUAGAGAAAGAAAUGGAACCAGCCAUAAUUCGCCUAUUUCCCUGAAGAUCAUCAAGAGGUUAAAGUUAAUUUAGCUGAGUUUUGGUUGAAUCUGAACUGAGUUCGAAUCUGAAAAAGAUUUCCAAGCAAUGGAUGUUGGAAUUGUCUUUCAAACGGAUUCUCGUGUGGAUGUUAAUGAUGUUUUUUAGUAAAAAUGUAAUCAACGAGGGGAUCAUGAAAUUCAAAGGUUAUGUAAUUGAAAGUAAGAUCAUUCAAUGGAGAAUAAAUUUGAUUGUAUUCAUGGAUUUCUAAUAAGAACUUGUCAUGGUCAAGUUGACAAUUAUCAUCAA
This is an RNA transcript of Cucumis sativus (cucumber), 6613 nucleotides long. RefSeq lists it as uncharacterized. The transcript is spliced from 6 exons. The record is from RefSeq and is a predicted model, not a curated record. Lineage: Eukaryota; Viridiplantae; Streptophyta; Magnoliopsida; Cucurbitales; Cucurbitaceae.